RNAcentral lists this ribosomal RNA (347 nucleotides) under uncultured bacterium. RNAcentral describes it as "partial 16S ribosomal RNA". It matches the Rfam family "Bacterial small subunit ribosomal RNA", at positions 338 to 696 of the family's 1533-position model. The record is from RNAcentral.
CCUACGGGUGGCAGCAGUCGAGAAUCAUUCACAAUGGGGGAAACCCUGAUCCUGCGACGCCGCGUGCGGGAAUGAAGCUCUUCGGAUUGUAAACUCCUUUCAUGUGGGAGCAACUCAAAAAGCUAGUACCACAAGAGGAAUAGCCGGCUAACCCUGUGCCAGCAGUCGCGGUAAUACAGCGGGCUCAAUCGUUGUUCGGAUUCACUGGGCGUAAGGUGUGCGUAGGCAGUUUCGUAAGUUGUGUGUGAAAGGAGCGGGCUCAACCCGCGGACGGCACCGGAUACUGCGAGACUAGAGGAAUGGGGAGGGAAGCGGAAUUCGCGGUGUAGCAGUGAAAUGCGUAGAUA